UAGCGUCCGCGGUGCACUUCAGAUCUAUUUUAGCCUUGAGCGGCAACGCAUGAUGUAUAAUACGUAAAAAUGCGAUCAACGGGUGAUGCGCAGUGAUGAGAUUAAAACGCGAUGAGAUAAUUAGUUGCUCAAUUCUUAAACACGUACGUAAAUGUUCGUAAUCGGCGUUUGUGUUCGAGCGCGCGGAUAUAACAUCGCGAUUGAUGUGCCUUCUAAUCGAUCGUUGCGCGAGUGAAAAUGCGGCACCGGAGGAUCCGGUUCGAGUGAAGGAAGUUCGGCUGCGAGAUCAAGCAGUGUCUGUGAUAAUCUGACAAUUAUUCGCGUUUGCAUUGUUAGAUUUUUAUCCGCGGAUGUUUAUCCGUAUUUUGCAUCGCGAGUGACGUACAGUAUUAAAGCACGACGUGUAACUAUUUGCUAAAAUUCGUAAGCAUAAUAUUCGUAAAUAAAUUCGUAAAUAUAUCCGUAAAUAAAUUUGUAAAUUCGUGAAUAUUGCUGUAACUGUUCGUUAAAUAGUUAAAAAGUGAAUAUUACAUCGCGAGUGAAGUGUGGACGGCAAAUGCAGUUGCGACGCCGGAGGAUCCGGUUCAGGCCAAGCAGGAUCGACUCGAAGAUGCAGGAGAUGUGAUCGAUCCUGAAUUGCCGGUUUUGGUGAGUGAAAAAUGUAACAACAUUUAAGGUGAUAGUUUCUUCUAUCUUGUCUGUUAGCUAAUCGAUGUCUAAUUGACGUCUUUUCAAUCAUCAUUUCUCACUGGGAUAUAUAAAAUAAAUUAUAGAAUAUUAUAAAUAUGGAAUUAAAAUAAUUAUACAAGAAAUGAGAUUUAACUCUAAAGUGAUAGAGUGAAUUUUUAUUUGCACAAUACUUUGCAUUCUUGUUAUAAAAAUUAUACUAACAUUAUUAAUUACGAUAUAAUAAUA
Ooceraea biroi (clonal raider ant) is the source of this 915-nucleotide long non-coding RNA. RefSeq lists it as uncharacterized. Lineage: Eukaryota; Metazoa; Arthropoda; Insecta; Hymenoptera; Formicidae. The record is from RefSeq and is a predicted model, not a curated record.